Molecule: non-coding RNA, 30 nt
Filed under: Mus musculus (house mouse)
Lineage: Eukaryota; Metazoa; Chordata; Mammalia; Rodentia; Muridae
Source: RNAcentral
UCCAACUAAUAGGGGACACGCUAUCUGGUC